RNAcentral lists this ribosomal RNA (252 nucleotides) under uncultured bacterium. Its description in RNAcentral is "partial 16S ribosomal RNA". It matches the Rfam family "Bacterial small subunit ribosomal RNA", at positions 524 to 774 of the family's 1533-position model. The record is from RNAcentral.
UACGAAGGGGGCUAGCGUUGCUCGGAAUCACUGGGCGUAAAGGGUGCGUAGGCGGGUCUUUAAGUCAGGGGUGAAAUCCUGGAGCUCAACUCCAGAACUGCCUUUGAUACUGAAGAUCUUGAGUUCGGGAGAGGUGAGUGGAACUGCGAGUGUAGAGGUGAAAUUCGUAGAUAUUCGCAAGAACACCAGUGGCGAAGGCGGCUCACUGGCCCGAUACUGACGCUGAGGCACGGAAAGCGUGGGGAGCAAACA